CAAAGUGUAGCUUGAAUCAGAGAACCAGUCAGAAGACAUGUAAGUGGAGUGAUCUACGGAAGAAGACGAGAGAUCUAGUCGGUGAUGAAGAUGAUUACGGAGCCGCUAGAGACGGUAAUGAAAAUAGCUAGAAUUUCAUCAUGCGGGAGGAACGGGUGGGGUUUGAGUCUCGAGUAGCUUGAAUCUGGUUACGGAUAGUUCUGUCGAUGGAGGAAACAAUCGUUGCUGCAGAUUUGAAUGAUUGCAUGUGUCAACACAGUGUUUAUGUUCAAUAGCAUCAUAGGCAAAAGAUAGAUCCUGGAAAUAUUGUACGCUCUCAAUAAAAUUCCAAGGAUUUGAAUAUCUUGUAACUGUUAACUGUGUUGUAGCAUGUACAUUAUCAUUAGUAUGUUUACAUUGAUUUUGAUUCUAAUAUUUUUUGAACCUUA
Molecule: long non-coding RNA, 428 nt
Filed under: Brassica napus (rape)
Lineage: Eukaryota; Viridiplantae; Streptophyta; Magnoliopsida; Brassicales; Brassicaceae
Description: long non-coding RNA (BNAP_LNC004465)
Source: RNAcentral